Long non-coding RNA from Microtus oregoni (creeping vole), 583 nucleotides. RefSeq lists it as uncharacterized. The record is from RefSeq and is a predicted model, not a curated record. Lineage: Eukaryota; Metazoa; Chordata; Mammalia; Rodentia; Cricetidae. The transcript is spliced from 3 exons.
GAAGGCCAGUGCAACAUUCCUGUUGUUUUAGGAGCGCAGAUACCUUAGCUGAAGGUUUUUUUUAAAAGAAAAAAAUCAUGACGAACUGGCCCCGAUGAAAAGAUUUAGGAACUUUGGCCGCUUAAAAAAGUCGCAUCCAUUUCAGACAUCCAGAAGGGACCCCAGAAGUGGCACCUGCCCCACACGGGGACAUCUGGGAGAGUGGUUUCCGGCCGCCUGGGGCUGUACAGAGUAAGCCACCCGAGGACUAAGGACCCUACGCCGCCUGGAUCCCAGGCGAGCAGUACUACCCCACCCCACCGGCCUCGCGGGGCAGGAAGGCGCUGAGCAGAUGGGGACAUUGAAACUGAGCAACUUGAAGGUCCACCGGGAAGACCAGAGCGGCAGCUUCACGCAACUUGGUAUAUAUUCCCUCCACCACUACCACCGCGAUGGGAUCUCGUACAGCGCAGGCUGGCCUCAAACCUGGAUUACAAAUCUCCUUCCCGGCGCUGGAGAGAUGGCUCAGCGGUGAAGAACACUGACUGCUCUUCCAGAGAUCCUGAGUUCAAUCCCCAGCACCCACAGAGCAGCCCACAACUGU